UGCUUCAUAGAGUAAAUAAACUCGUUGGGUUGCAAACCCUAAGAUAUAGAAUAACAUCUGUUGAGGCAU
RNAcentral lists this transfer RNA (69 nucleotides) under Bario sanctaefilomenae (redeye tetra). RNAcentral's name for it is "Moenkhausia sanctaefilomenae (redeye tetra) tRNA-Cys". Lineage: Eukaryota; Metazoa; Chordata; Actinopteri; Characiformes; Acestrorhamphidae. The record is from RNAcentral.